This 1485-nucleotide ribosomal RNA is filed under the name metagenome. Its description in RNAcentral is "bacterial SSU rRNA". It matches the Rfam family "Bacterial small subunit ribosomal RNA". The record is from RNAcentral.
AGAGUUUGAUCCUGGCUCAGGAUGAACGCUAGCGGCAGGCUUAAUACAUGCAAGUCGAGGGGCAGCACGGGGGCAACCCUGGUGGCGACCGGCGCACGGGUGCGUAACGCGUAUGUAACCUACCUCAGAGCGGGGGACAUCCUCGGGAAACUGAGAAUAAUACCCCAUAGAAUCUCGGGACCGCAUGGUCGAGAGAUUAAAGAUUUAUCACUUUGAGAUGGACAUGCGUAACAUUAGCUAGUUGGAGAGGUAACGGCUCCCCAAGGCUACGAUGUUUAGCUGGUCUGAGAGGAUGAUCAGCCACACUGGCACUGAGAUACGGGCCAGACUCCUACGGGAGGCAGCAGUAGGGAAUAUUGGACAAUGGGCGAGAGCCUGAUCCAGCCAUGCCGCGUGAAGGAAGAAGGCGCUCUGCGUUGUAAACUUCUUUUAGCAGGGGAUAAACCACCACUAUACGUGGUGCUGAAGGUACCUGCAGAAUAAGCACCGGCUAACUCCGUGCCAGCAGCCGCGGUAAUACGGAGGGUGCAAGCGUUGUCCGGAUUUAUUGGGUUUAAAGGGUGCGUAGGCGGUUUAAUAAGUCAGUGGUGAAAGGCUUGGGCUCAACCCAGGCAUUGCCAUUGAUACUGUUAAACUUGAGUACGGUCGAGGUGGUUGGAAUGCGUAGUGUAGCGGUGAAAUGCUUAGAUAUUACGCAGAACACCUAUUGCGAAGGCAGAUCACUAGACCGGAACUGACGCUGAUGCACGAAAGCGUGGGUAGCGAACAGGAUUAGAUACCCUGGUAGUCCACGCCGUAAACGAUGGUUACUAGGUGUUCUGGGGCAACCCGGAGUACCCAAGCGAAAGCGAUAAGUAACCCACCUGGGGAGUACGACCGCAAGGUUGAAACUCAAAGGAAUUGACGGGGGCCCGCACAAGCGGUGGAGCAUGUGGUUUAAUUCGAUGUACGCGAGGAACCUUACCUGGGCUAGAAUGCGCGUGACUGUACCUGAAAGGGUACAUCUCUUCGGAGCACAAAGCAAGGUGCUGCAUGGCUGUCGUCAGCUCGUGCCGUGAGGUGUUGGGUUAAGUCCCGCAACGAGCGCAACCCCUAUUCUUAGUUGCCAGCAUUUAGAUGGGGACUCUAAGAAGACUGCCUGCGCAAGCAGAGAGGAAGGUGGGGGCGACGUCAAGUCAUCAUGGCCCUUACGCCCAGGGCUACACACGUGCUACAAUGGCCGGUACAAAGGGUUGCGAAGCAGCGAUGCGGAGCUAAUCUCAAAAAGCCGGUCUCAGUUCGGAUUGGAGUCUGCAACUCGACUCCAUGAAGCUGGAAUCGCUAGUAAUCGCGCAUCAGCCACGGCGCGGUGGAUACGUUCCCGGGCCUUGUACACACCGCCCGUCAAGCCAUGGGAGUUGGGGGUACCUGAAGCCGGUGGCCGAACCGAAAGGUAGGAGCCGUCUAGGGUAAAACCAAUGACUGGGGCUAAGUCGUAACAAGGUA